GUGGGGAAUAUUGGACAAUGGGCGCAAGCCUGAUCCAGCCAUACCGCGUGGGUGAAGAAGGCCUUCGGGUUGUAAAGCCCUUUUGUUGGGAAAGAAAUCCUGUCGGUUAAUACCUGGCGGGGAUGACGGUACCCAAAGAAUAAGCACCGGCUAACUUCGUGCCAGCAGCCGCGGUAAUACGAAGGGUGCAAGCGUUACUCGGAAUUACUGGGCGUAAAGCGUGCGUAGGUGGUGGUUUAAGUCCGUUGUGAAAGCCCUGGGCUCAACCUGGGAAUUGCAGUGGAUACUGGAUCACUAGAGUGUGGUAGAGGGAUGCGGAAUUUCUGGUGUAGCAGUGAAAUGCGUAGAGAUCAGAAGGAACAUCCGUGGCGAAGGCGGCAUCCUGGGCCAACACUGACACUGAGGCACGAAAGCGUGGGGAGCAAACAGGAUUAGAAACCCCGGUAGUCC
Molecule: ribosomal RNA, 450 nt
Filed under: uncultured bacterium
Lineage: Bacteria
Description: bacterial SSU rRNA
Rfam family: Bacterial small subunit ribosomal RNA
Source: RNAcentral